UAGGGAAUCUUGCACAAUGGGCGAAAGCCUGAUGCAGCGACGCCGCGUGCGGGAUGAAGGCCUUCGGGUUGUAAACCGCUUUCAGCAGGGACGAAAGUGACGGUACCUGCAGAAGAAGCCCCGGCCAACUACGUGCCAGCAGCCGCGGUAAUACGUAGGGGGCGAGCGUUGUCCGGAUUUAUUGGGCGUAAAGAGCUCGUAGGCGGUUCCGCAAGUCGGAUAUGAAAUCUCCACGCUCAACGUGGAGGGGUUAUUCGAUACUGCGGUGACUAGAGUCCGGUAGGGGAGUGUGGAAUUCCCGGUGUAGCGGUGAAAUGCGCAGAGAUCGGGAGGAACACCCGUAGCGAAGGCGGCACUCUGGGCCGUGACUGACGCUGAGGAGCGAAAGCGUGGGUAGCGAACAG
Molecule: ribosomal RNA, 404 nt
Filed under: uncultured bacterium
Lineage: Bacteria
Description: bacterial SSU rRNA
Rfam family: Bacterial small subunit ribosomal RNA
Source: RNAcentral